RNAcentral lists this transfer-messenger RNA (366 nucleotides) under Actinomycetota bacterium. It matches the Rfam family "transfer-messenger RNA". Rfam says of the family: Bacterial tmRNA, also known as 10Sa RNA or SsrA, is named for its dual tRNA and mRNA-like properties. Its role is to liberate the mRNA from a stalled ribosome. To accomplish this part of the tmRNA is used as a reading frame that ends in a translation stop signal. Lineage: Bacteria; Bacillati; Actinomycetota. The record is from RNAcentral.
GGGGACGACAGGCUUCGACGUGGUCGGCUCGUGGGAAUGGUUGCGAGUCGAGGUCCCGGGCGGCCUCGUUAAACACCCGGGAAAAACAAUAAGUGCGGACUCUCACGAGUUUGCCCUCGCUGCCUAGAUAACACUGGGUAAGUGAGGUCUCGGCCCCCGCAGCCCGCGGCGGGGAUCACCGGGAUCAGAUAGCGGGCUCACCCGGUGCGGUCCGCCUCCGCCAAUCCGGGAACACUUCAGGAGGCUGGUCCCCCUCAACCCAGCCGGCAAGGCGAGCGGGGGACGAGAUCAAGAGCGCCGGCUACGCUCGUAGACGCCAUUUUCACGCGAUCGCGGACGUGGGUUCGAUUCCCACCGUCUCCAUCA